AUUGAACGCUGGCGGCAUGCCUUACACAUGCAAGUCGAACGGCAGCACGGGUGCUUGCCCCUGGUGGCGAGUGGCGAACGGGUGAGUAAUACAUCGGAACAUGUCCUGUAGUGGGGGAUAGCCCGGCGAAAGCCGGAUUAAUACCGCAUACGAUCUACGGGUGAAAGCGGGGGACCUUCGGCCCUCGCGCUAUAGGGUUGGCCGAUGGCUGAUUAGCUAGUUGGUGGGGUAAAGGCCUACCAAGGCGACGAUCAGUAGCUGGUCUGAGAGGACGACCAGCCACACUGGGACUGAGACACGGCCCAGACUCCUACGGGAGGCAGCAGUGGGGAAUUUUGGACAAUGGGCGAAAGCCUGAUCCAGCAAUGCCGCGUGUGUGAAGAAGGCCUUCGGGUUGUAAAGCACUUUUGUCCGGAAAGAAAUCCUUGGCCCUAAUACGGUCGGGGGAUGACGGUACCGGAAGAAUAAGCACCGGCUAACUACGUG
RNAcentral lists this ribosomal RNA (486 nucleotides) under uncultured bacterium. RNAcentral's name for it is "partial 16S ribosomal RNA". It matches the Rfam family "Bacterial small subunit ribosomal RNA", at positions 30 to 507 of the family's 1533-position model. The record is from RNAcentral.